UCUCAUCCCCUUCCCAAAAAUUUCGCUCCAUCUGGCGAUGCACCCGCCGCUGCCCCCGUGCUUCGUUUCUCUCCUCUCCUUCAAGCGGAUCGGCUGAUGAGGCGCCGAGGUGGCGGAGCCGUGGAGGCGAGGUCGCAUGGGGAACAAGAUGUCGUUGAUAAAGGCGGCGCUGGCCUUCUUCCCGUUGGAGCCGGCGUCGUACGAGAUGGCAGCGGCCGAGGGGGUGAAGGUGGUGGAAUUUGAGGAGCAGCAAGCCAGGAGGUCUGACCCUCCCCUCAGCGACGGCUGGGUCAGGGUGGGGGCAGAAGCCCGUGGCGAGUUGGGCACCUGUAGGCGGAAGCAGCAGGGUUGGUGGAGGGGCGGAUGCGGACGGGCGGCAAUUGAGGGAGGAUGGCCGGCCGGAGCGAUAGGAGCAGUUCGGGAAUCCCAUCGCAUGAGGCUGCCCUGGUUUGUUUUUUUUUCGUUUGUUCCUGUCAUCCUCGCCCCUUGCACCGGAGAGACGAACGAGGAGGUCGAAUAGUGCGUAGCGUCAUCUCUAUCGUCCUUAUCCAAUUACAAGCUCCUCUACCAGGUUGAGUUUGCUGACCGCCAUGGGUCAUGAGUGUGGCCACGAUGAAUCACAUGAGCAAGUUCAACUUCUCCAUGACUACAUCCAUCAGUUUUCCGGCUACUUUGCAUUCUUCAGAUAUGCAGUUUUGUUUUAUAUCUGCACAUCUCAUCUUGGCAUGAGUGUUUCCUAAAAAAAAUCACUGCUGCUGCCUUAUCUUCAGUAUAUGGAUUUCUGCAGGUUUCAUUGGCCGAUGGCUUUUUGGGAUAUGUAUUGCUUGGUCGCAUGCUCAUCAAUUGUUGUCAAAGUGACAACCCUCAACUGGAUUUCUUAUCUUUGUCGUAUGUCAACAAAUUAAAUGAUGCAGAUGUAGAUAUAUAAAAGGUACUAGCAAAUUGACAUGUUGACAUGUGUCUCUUUCUUACUUCCACAUUGAUAAAUCAUGCCAACAGAACUAAAAUUUCGACUGUCCCUCUCGUUCAAUGCAACAAUUUGAGUUCUAGCAUACUAGAUUGACACCCAUUCAUCAUGCCAUCAAGUUCCUAAGGCAUUGUUCAAUAUUCAGUAAUAUUAAAAAUUGAUCUUAUAUUAUUUGUAUCUCCUCGGAGAUAAUCAUACCGUUUCAGUUUGAUGUUUAUUCGGUAAGCGAAGGUAUAUAUCUGUUCACCCUUCUAAGGUGUAGAAGGAGAUCAUAAUUUCGAAUUGUCCAGGAGUGUUUGGCAGAAAAUCUUCCAUUGCUUUGUUAUGGUACUGAACCUUGGUAUGUCUUGGUUCUUCUUUAGGAUUCACCUAUAUGAACGUGGUGAACAUCAUUGUUGAGAAGAAGACACAUUUAAGCUAUCAAUUCUAGAUCUCUAUUUUUUAGGCUAUGCAGCUGAUACUUUUCUUACUUUGCUAGCUUUACUAUUUGUAUCUCCAUGUUCAGGGCUGUGAUGUAUAUUCUUUCUUUUUCCAAUACACAUGAGUGAGCAUAUUUAAGUACAGUGAUGCUGAAUGGGAGACAUUUUUUCUUUCAUUCUGUUUGCAUGUUAUGUACUAUUUUUUCCCAAUGAAAUAUGUCAUCUUUUCUUCCUUAUAUUUGGCUUCAAACUGGUGCUGAACAGACCUGUGUCAUAACCUCAUAUGUGAUUAACUAACAUAUCCUUGGAUGUCUUAGUAAGCUCAAGGACUGUGGGAGCUGAACUAAUGAUUUUUACAGUGUCACAAUGAAGGUUUCGCUAAAGGAACAUGUCCGCGGUCAUCCACCUAGCAUUUGAUCAAGCGAAUGAAGCUGUGAGACUCAGUAUGCCAAUGUUGAAGUGACCAAACACCUGACUGUAAAAUGGGGCAUGUACAUCUAGCUCUUUAUUCUAUCACUUUGAUUUGUGGAAGCCACUAAGUUGCUGCUGUAGGGACACAUAAUCAGACGAAGGAGAGGAGGAAGAUCUCAAGAAGAUUAAUAUGUUUCCAUAUUAUUCCACAUAUACGAGUUUGUGCGAUGUUACUUUCAAUUACUACAAAUGCUCGCCUUUGCUGGUUUACGUCUGCUUCAUACUUUUUGUUCUAUUUCCGUGUAAAUAAUUACACUAACUGUUUGUAUUAAAAUAAAGGGAUAUUUGCAGGCUUCAAUGGAAGGGUGUUGUAAGAGAUCAGAAACUUUGUU
Triticum dicoccoides is the source of this 2189-nucleotide long non-coding RNA. RefSeq lists it as uncharacterized. The transcript is spliced from 3 exons. The record is from RefSeq and is a predicted model, not a curated record. Lineage: Eukaryota; Viridiplantae; Streptophyta; Magnoliopsida; Poales; Poaceae.